RNAcentral lists this transfer RNA (73 nucleotides) under Myotis davidii. It matches the Rfam family "tRNA". From Rfam's summary of the family: Transfer RNA (tRNA) molecules are approximately 80 nucleotides in length. Their secondary structure includes four short double-helical elements and three loops (D, anti-codon, and T loops). Further hydrogen bonds mediate the characteristic L-shaped molecular structure. tRNAs have two regions of fundamental functional importance: the anti-codon, which is responsible for specific mRNA codon recognition, and the 3' end, to which the tRNAs corresponding amino acid is attached (by aminoacyl-tRNA synthetases). tRNAs cope with the degeneracy of the genetic code in two manners: having more than one tRNA (with a specific anti-codon) for a particular amino acid; and 'wobble' base-pairing, i.e. permitting non-standard base-pairing at the 3rd anti-codon position. Lineage: Eukaryota; Metazoa; Chordata; Mammalia; Chiroptera; Vespertilionidae. The record is from Rfam by way of RNAcentral.
GCCGGUGUGGCUCAGUGGAUAGAGCGUUGGCCUGCAGACUGAAGGGUACCAGGUUCGAUUCCGGCCAAGGGCA